Long non-coding RNA from Actinia tenebrosa (Australian red waratah sea anemone), 685 nucleotides. RefSeq lists it as uncharacterized. The record is from RefSeq and is a predicted model, not a curated record. Lineage: Eukaryota; Metazoa; Cnidaria; Anthozoa; Actiniaria; Actiniidae.
GCCAUAAAAACCAUCAAGUGAAGAACGCAAAAAUCUGGAUACUCACUCACAAGAAAAUGGGAACAAGAACAUGAAUGAUUAAGGAACUUGCUAGCUUCUGCUCAAGUGUAAAUGUCAACGUGGCCUGUAAAUACUGAAGUAUACAGCAGAAAACUAAGAGCUCUGACGACUAGGAAAAUAUCUUCAGCUUCGCCGAUGAUUGUUUGCUGGUUGAUGUUUCUAGCUAGAGUGCAGAGAAACCAUACUGAAUGUGGUUUAAAGCGCUUGAGUUUGUGAGCAAGGAACAAGAAACCACGUCAUGCAGUCAAGCUCAAACAAAUUGGUCUACCAACCAGUAGAUGGCGAGAGGACUCGACAGCGGGAUCAGUAUUAACAGGGAGCAAGAACAUGAAUGACUAAGGAAUUUGCUGGCUUCUGUUCAAGCGCAAAUGUACGAGUCAACGUAGCCUGUAAAUAUUGAAGUACACAGCAGAGCUCUGACGACUAGGAAAACAUCUUCAGCUUCGCUGGUGAUUGUUUGCUGGUUGAUGUUUCUAACUAGAGUGCAGAGAAACCCUACUGAAUGUAGUUUAAAGCACUUAAGUUUGUGAGCAAGGAACAAGAAACCACGUCAUGCAGUCAAACUCAAACAAAUUGGUCUACCAACCAGUAGAUGGCGAGAGGACUCGACAACGGGAUCAGUAUA